This 160-nucleotide ribosomal RNA is filed under the name uncultured bacterium. RNAcentral describes it as "partial 16S ribosomal RNA". It matches the Rfam family "Bacterial small subunit ribosomal RNA", at positions 338 to 513 of the family's 1533-position model. The record is from RNAcentral.
CCUACGGGAGGCAGCAGUGGGGAAUAUUUGCACAAUGGGGGAAACCCUGAUGCAGCGACGCCGCGUGGAGGAAGAAGGUCUUCGGAUUGUAAACUCCUGUUGUUGAGGAAUGAUAAUGACGGUACUCAACAAGGAAGUGACGGCUAACUACGUGCCAGCA